CUGGCUCAGAGUGAACGCUGGCGGUAGGCCUAACACAUGCAAGUCGAACGGCAGCACAGUAAGGGCUUGCUCUUACGGGUGGCGAGUGGCGGACGGGUGAGGAAUACAUCGGAAUCUACUCUGUCGUGGGGGAUAACGUAGGGAAACUUACGCCAAUACCGCAUACAACCUACGGGUGAAAGCAGGGGAUCUUCGGACCUUGCGCGAUUGAAUGAGCCGAUGUCGGAUUAGCUAGUUGGCGGGGUAAAGGCCCACCAAGGCGACGAUCCGUAGCUGGUCUGAGAGGAUGAUCAGCCACACUGGAACUGAGACACGGUCCAGACUCCUACGGGAGGCAGCAGUGGGGAAUAUUGGACAAUGGGCGCAAGCCUGAUCCAGCCAUACCGCGUGGGUGAAGAAGGCCUUCGGGUUGUAAAGCCCUUUUGUUGGGAAAGAAAUCCAGCCGGCUAAUACCUGGUUGGGAUGACGGUACCCAAAGAAUAAGCACCGGCUAACUUCGUGCCAGCAGCCGCGGUAAUACGAAGGGUGCAAGCGUUACUCGGAAUUACUGGGCGUAAAGCGUGCGUAGGUGGUCGUUUAAGUCCGUUGUGAAAGCCCUGGGCUCAACCUGGGAACUGCAGUGGAUACUGGACGACUAGAGUGUGGUAGAGGGUAGCGGAAUUCCUGGUGUAGCAGUGAAAUGCGUAGAGAUCAGGAGGAACAUCCAUGGCGAAGGCAGCUACCUGGACCAACACUGACACUGAGGCACGAAAG
RNAcentral lists this ribosomal RNA (753 nucleotides) under uncultured Pseudomonas sp. RNAcentral's name for it is "bacterial SSU rRNA". It matches the Rfam family "Bacterial small subunit ribosomal RNA", at positions 19 to 759 of the family's 1533-position model. The record is from RNAcentral. Lineage: Bacteria; Pseudomonadati; Pseudomonadota; Gammaproteobacteria; Pseudomonadales; Pseudomonadaceae.